CGGCGGCUCAUCCGGGCUCUGGGGACAGGCGGCGCGAGCGCUGCACGCCGGCUGGCGUUCGAUUCGAACCGAGAGCGGCACGCGUUGGGCUUCCAACCACGCGUUAGUCCAUAGUUCACUGAGGGCCGGCGACACGAGACCAGCACAUCCCCGCAGAAGACGUCUCGAGACGUGCGAGGGCUCUCGCGGAAGAAGGGCUCGCGGUCACCCCCGACAUAAUCACAUUCCUCAUUUCCGAAAUGAUGCUGAAUACAAUUUUCGUUAAAAAAUGUUAUGUGUGACCCGUGGGUGGCUAUAAUAAGGACACAGAAAUAUUUGAAAUAUUGACUUGAUGUGUUUGCAUACACAUUUUGUUAAAGAAAGGUGUACUAAUUGUAUUGACGUUGUCAGUUUUGUCCGUUGAACCGGAUUCAAAAUAAGAAUAAUUUAGUUGAAUUCGUAGCUUUAUGGCGUUUCUAUAUAUGCAUAGAAGUCUGUAACCUGGAGUGUAAAUCUCCAGACAGAUGCAACAAAUGUCUCAAACUAGACAUCUACGUAUUUCGGUGUUCUGCAAUUCAUUUUGAAAUUCCAUAAGAUAGUCAAAUCCACUUAAGUUGGACUCUUCUAAACCUCAACAAGAAUGUUUAAUUUUGGACAAAAUACGUUAUGCGGAGAAAGCGCAGAGUGUUUUGUAAUUGCAAAGUCGAAUAUUAAUUGUCAUUAAUUGAUAACAAUGAGCUUUUUUAUGACUAUUCCUCUCGAUGUGUAUAUUUGUGUCCGUCGUCUUUCUGAUCAAAUCUGUUCAUGUUGAAGAAUUAAAC
RNAcentral lists this long non-coding RNA (800 nucleotides) under Lepisosteus oculatus (spotted gar). RNAcentral's name for it is "lncRNA (ENSLOCG00000021038.1)". Lineage: Eukaryota; Metazoa; Chordata; Actinopteri; Semionotiformes; Lepisosteidae. The record is from RNAcentral.